Molecule: ribosomal RNA, 255 nt
Filed under: uncultured bacterium
Lineage: Bacteria
Description: partial 16S ribosomal RNA
Rfam family: Bacterial small subunit ribosomal RNA
Source: RNAcentral
UACGUAGGGUGCGAGCGUUAAUCGGAAUUACUGGGCGUAAAGCGUGCGCAGGCGGUAAUGUAAGACAGAUGUGAAAUCCCCCGGGCUUAACCUGGGACCUGCAUUUGUGACUGCAUUGCUGGAGUGCGGGCAGAGGGGGAUGGAAUUCCGCGUGUAGCAGUGAAAUGCGUAGAUAUGCGGAGGAACACCGAUGGCGAAGGCAAUCCCCUGGGCCUGCACUGACGCUCAUGCACGAAAGCGUGGGGAGCAAACAGG